UAGGGUUGGACUAAAAAAUCCUUAGGAUAGGAUAGAUUGAUACCCGGGGGUUGACCGUUUGUGAAACAGGGUCAAAAUCAGACCUCUAGCCACUAAAACGACGGCCUAGGGCAAAAUAGGAUUUCAUUCAAAGAUCAAAAUUCAGGAUUUGAGAGCUAGCUUGAAGUUCUUUUUAGAGACAUAAGAAUUUUUUUAAGAAGGUUUUGGAGGAGUUAGCAAUUAUUGUUCAAAGUUAGGGUUUAUAUCAAUGAUUUGGAUUUUAUAUAAUAUAAUUAGAGCUAGUAAUUUUGGCUAGUUUGUGCAAUUGGCAUAACAUCUACAGUUGAAAAUUUAAUAUUAUUUGGAUCAUUGCGUUUGCUAAGUGUAUACAAAAUUUUGUGAUAAUGUAAUGGGGUGGUUUAGAGAUAUCUAGCUUUAAGCACAAGAGGGUUUCAAAAGGUGGCAGUUUGAGGUUGGGUAGGAUUUCUAUGAUAUUUGAAGAUCUAUUGGUCGGAUUAAGGUGAAAAUUGGCAUGGUGUUGGAAGACUUAAAGACCAAGCAACACACCAAUUUUGAAACAAAGUUAACUAUUGAAGAAGG
RNAcentral lists this long non-coding RNA (579 nucleotides) under Physcomitrium patens. RNAcentral's name for it is "long non-coding RNA (PPAT_LNC010088)". The record is from RNAcentral. Lineage: Eukaryota; Viridiplantae; Streptophyta; Bryopsida; Funariales; Funariaceae.